AUGCUCCCGUCUUCCGCCCCUGCACCAGCAGCUGCUCAGGGCGUCGUCCCCCAAAUGCAGCUCGGUUGCCGCUCCCCGUGCAGCUCGGGUGCUGCCUUCUCUCCUUUCUGCUCGCCAUGCUGCUUGGGGAGGAAAGGAGCGAUGGCGGAGGAGCGCACUCAUGGUGGGGGCAGAAAGGAACAGGUGCAGUUCACCCCACCGAAGGAGGCAAGGAGCACGAGCGAGCUCCCUCGCCCGAUGCCGGUGAUUUUGGCUUCCUCGUGCAGUUCAACAGGGCCACCAAUGGCCUUCCCGCGACGACCAGCUGCAGGCAGUUUGGCCAGCAGCGACGGCCACCACUCUGCUCUCUCCCCCUUAUCCACAUUUGUUCAUUCACACAGCAGUCUGGCAGCUCCACCAGCGGCAUGUGCAGUUCACUCCAUGUGA
RNAcentral lists this ribosomal RNA (426 nucleotides) under Triticum aestivum (bread wheat). RNAcentral's name for it is "partial small subunit ribosomal RNA". Lineage: Eukaryota; Viridiplantae; Streptophyta; Magnoliopsida; Poales; Poaceae. The record is from RNAcentral.